AAAAUGGCGCGUGCCCAAAAAAUGCAAGUCGAACGGGGUACCAGUACCUAGUCGGCGAACGGUCGCGUAACACGCGGGCAACCUGCCCCAGAGCGGGGGAUAACAACCCAAAAGGGUUGCUAAUACCGCAUGUGAACCGAGGGAGGCAUCUUCUUUUGUUCAAAGGAUUACCCGCAAGGGUAUUCACUCUGGGAUGGGCCCGCGGCCUAUCAGCUUGUUGGUGGGGUAACGGCCUACCAAGGCUUCGACGGGAAGCUGGUCUGAGAGGACGAUCAGCCGGAUUGGGACUGAAAUACGGCCCAGACUCCUACGGGGGGCAGCAAUUAGGAAUCUUGCACAAUGGGCGAAAGCCUGAUGCAGCGACGUCGCGUGGAGGAUGAAG
Molecule: ribosomal RNA, 382 nt
Filed under: uncultured bacterium
Lineage: Bacteria
Description: bacterial SSU rRNA
Rfam family: Bacterial small subunit ribosomal RNA
Source: RNAcentral